UGGGGAAUAUUGCACAAUGGGCGCAAGCCUGAUGCAGCCAUGCCGCGUGUGUGCAGAAGGCCUUCGGGUUGUAAAGCACUUUCAGCGGGGAGGAAGGCGAUAAGGUUAAUAACCUUGUCGAUUGACGUUACCCGCAGAAGAAGCACCGGCUAACUCCGUGCCAGCAGCCGCGGUAAUACGGCGGGUGCAAGCGUUAAUCGGAAUUACUGGGCGUAAAGCGCACGCAGGCGGUCUGUCAAGUCGGACGUGAAAUCCCCGGGCUUAACCUGGGAACUGCAUUCGAAACUAGCAGGCUAGAGUCUUGUAGAGGGGGGUAGAAGUCCAGGUGUAGCGGUGAAAUACGUCGAGAUCUAGAGGAAUACCGGUCGCGAAGACGGCCCCCUGGACAAAGACUGACGCUCAGGUGCGAAAGCGUGGGGAGCAAACAGU
This 429-nucleotide ribosomal RNA is filed under the name Chloroflexota bacterium. Its description in RNAcentral is "Chloroflexi bacterium partial 16S ribosomal RNA". It matches the Rfam family "Bacterial small subunit ribosomal RNA", at positions 355 to 776 of the family's 1533-position model. Lineage: Bacteria; Bacillati; Chloroflexota. The record is from RNAcentral.